Pelobates fuscus (common spadefoot toad) is the source of this 651-nucleotide long non-coding RNA. RefSeq lists it as uncharacterized. The record is from RefSeq and is a predicted model, not a curated record. NCBI's taxonomy places the organism in Eukaryota, Metazoa, Chordata, Amphibia, Anura, Pelobatidae. The transcript has 6 exons.
CUAACUUGUUCAGUGCUUUGCAGACAGGCGCUCCUCGGGCAGCUCAAAUAUCUCUUUCAGGCUGUGAGGACGCCAGGGCAAUGGGCGUGGCUUAUCAGGAUUAUAAAUAGCUGAUGCACCCGCCAUCUUUCUCUUCUCCCUUUUGGUGUUGGAGUGGUAACAUGGCGCUUUGUGUCCAGCUGUGUCUGGAGAUGGCGGCCAAGCGCCACUUUCAGUCCGUUCUGUAUCCGAGCCAUCCUGGUGGAUAUCGUCCCCAGAUACCCCCACAAAGGUAAUGUAAGCCAUGUUGGUGAGAUGGAUUGGGUCUAUGUGUUGGCGGAUGUGAAUGGCGUAUAGAUGGGUGUACUGAGCUGACGGUCAGAGGAAUGACACUGCUGUAUGCUGCAAUCUAAGGUGCAGUGACUAUUUAAUCUCAAUCUGAUUCAUGUGACUUCUUCAGCUGGUCGCCAUCACUGACCUCGGUGGUGCUAAGGAUUUGCUUGAACAAGUUACCUGUUGGCUCUUCCCAUGGUACCGACUGCCACAAUGUUCCUCCUGAUGGGAUUAGGGUAAAGAUUCUUUCUAACAUUCAGAGUGCAGAGGACAAGACUACAAAUUUAAAGUUAUUUGAUCUGUCUAAAGUGAAAGCAAUAAAAGAUUCAUUCAAUUACA